AGAAAAAUAAGCUAAUAAAAGCUAACGGGUUCAUACCUCGUCAAUGGAAUAAAUUAUUCCUUUUUCUA
RNAcentral lists this transfer RNA (68 nucleotides) under Ramulus hainanensis. RNAcentral describes it as "Ramulus hainanense tRNA-Met". The record is from RNAcentral. Lineage: Eukaryota; Metazoa; Arthropoda; Insecta; Phasmatodea; Phasmatidae.